GGAUUCCCCUAGUAACUGCGAGUGAAGCGGGAAAAGCUCAAAUUUAAAAUCUGGCAGUCUUUUUGGCUGUCCGAGUUGUAAUCUAGAGAAGUGUUACCCGCGCUGGACCGUGUACAAGUCUCCUGGAAUGGAGCGUCAUAGAGGGUGAGAAUCCCGUCUUUGACACGGACUGCCAGGGCUUUUGUGGUGCGCUCUCAAAGAGUCGAGUUGUUUGGGAAUGCAGCUCAAAAUGGGUGGUAAAUUCCAUCUAAAGCUAAAUAUUGGCGAGAGACCGAUAGCGAACAAGUACCGUGAGGGAAAGAUGAAAAGAACUUUGGAAAGAGAGUUAAACAGUACGUGAAAUUGCUGAAAGGGAAACGCUUGAAGUCAGUCGCGUUGGCUGGGAAUCAACCUUGCUUUUGCUGGGUGUACUUUCCAGUUGACGGGUCAGCAUCAGUUUUGACCGUUGGAUAAAGUCUAGAGGAAUGUGGCAUCUUCGGAUGUGUUAUAGCCUCUGGUCGCAUACAACGGUUGGGACUGAGGAACUCAGCACGCCGCAAGGCCGGGUACUUGUACCACGUUCGUGCUCAGGAUGCUGGCAUAAUGGCUUUAAUCGACCCGUCUUGAAACACGGACCAAGGAGUCUAACAUGCCUGCGAGUGUUUGGGUGGAAAACCCGAGCGCGCAAUGAAAGUGAAAGUUGAGAUCCCUGUCGUGGGGAGCAUCGACGCCCGGACCAGAAGUUUUACGGACGGACCCGCGGUAGAGCAUGUAUGUUGGGACCCGAAAGAUGGUGAACUAUGCCUGAAUAGGGUGAAGCCAGAGGAAACUCUGGUGGAGGCUCGUAGCGAUUCU
This 834-nucleotide ribosomal RNA is filed under the name Agrocybe eduardii. RNAcentral describes it as "Agrocybe sp. EM-2022a partial large subunit ribosomal RNA". It matches the Rfam family "Eukaryotic large subunit ribosomal RNA", at positions 72 to 887 of the family's 3401-position model. Lineage: Eukaryota; Fungi; Basidiomycota; Agaricomycetes; Agaricales; Agrocybaceae. The record is from RNAcentral.